GAUGAACGCUAGCGGCAGGCUUAAUACAUGCAAGUCAAGGGGGUAGCAAUACAACCGGCGCACGGGUGAGUAACGCGUACACAACAUACCAUAUACUGGAGUAUAGCUUUGGGAAACUGAAGGUAAUCCUCCAUAACAUUGCGAGAGGGCAUCUGAUUGCAAUUAAAGUUCCGACGGUAUAUGAUUGGUGUGCGUUUGAUUAGCUAGUUGGUAGGGUAACGGCCUACCAAGGCGACGAUCAAUAGCUGGCGUGAGAGCGCGACCAGCCACACUGGAACUGAGACACGGUCCAGACUCCUACGGGAGGCAGCAGUAGGGAAUAUUGGACAAUGGGCGAAAGCCUGAUCCAGCCAUGCCGCGUGAUAGAUGAAGGCCCUCUGGGUUGUAAAUAUCUUUAUCUGGGAGAAACUCCUCUAUUCUUAGAGGCCUGACGGUACCAGAGGAAUAAGCACCGGCUAACUCCGUGCCAGCAGCCGCGGU
Molecule: ribosomal RNA, 480 nt
Filed under: uncultured bacterium
Lineage: Bacteria
Description: bacterial SSU rRNA
Rfam family: Bacterial small subunit ribosomal RNA
Source: RNAcentral